GACGAACGCUGGCGGCGUGCUUAACACAUGCAAGUCGAACGGAAAGGCGCUGCUUUUGUGGGGUGCUCGAGUGGCGAACGGGUGAGUCACACGAGGGUAACCUGCCCCUGCCUUUGGGAUAACUUCAGGAAAAUGGGGCUAAUACAGGAUAGGAACUCCUGCUGCAUGGUGGGGGUUGGAAAGUUUCGGCGGUUGGGGAUGGACUCGCGGCUUAUCAGCUUGUUGGUGGGGUAGUGGCUUACCAAGGCUUUGACGGGUAGCCGGCCUGAGAGGGUGACCGGCCCCAUUGGGACUGAGGUACGGCCCAGACUCCUACGGGAGGCAGCAGUGGGGAAUAUUGCACAAUGGGCGGAAGCCUGAUGCAGCAACGCCGCGUGCGGGAUGACGGCCUUCGGGUUGUAAACCGCUUUCGCCUGUGACGAAGCGUGAGUGACGGUAAUGGGUAAAGAAGCACCGGCUAACUACGUG
This 468-nucleotide ribosomal RNA is filed under the name uncultured bacterium. Its description in RNAcentral is "partial 16S ribosomal RNA". It matches the Rfam family "Bacterial small subunit ribosomal RNA", at positions 28 to 507 of the family's 1533-position model. The record is from RNAcentral.